Molecule: non-coding RNA, 3164 nt
Organism: Hydra vulgaris (swiftwater hydra)
Lineage: Eukaryota; Metazoa; Cnidaria; Hydrozoa; Anthoathecata; Hydridae
Source: RefSeq, a predicted model, not a curated record
UUUUUAUGUCUUUUAUUUUAUAUAGCAUUUUAUUUUAUGCAAUAAUUUAACGCAAUGUUAUAGGUAAUAAACGAAUCAAUAAGUUAAACUAGAUCUGCUACAUCACGUUAUGUUAAGAAUAGUAAAACAAGAUUAAAGUAAAAAUCACACAAUAAGUAAUGCUGAAAAUAGUAAAAAUUAUACAUAAGGGACUUUGAAAAUGCAAUAAACUUUAGUGAGGAUUGAUGUUAGACGUUAGCCUUGGAGAAUAAAUCUGAUAUAGAAAAUUUAUAUCAGAUAUAUUAAAAGCUUUCGACACAUUUCACAACUAUCUCCUACUUCUAAAAUUAAAAGCUUAUAGAAUAGAUGACUAACUCUACAAUUGGAUUUGAAUGUUACCUUAGAGAUCGGCAUUAGAGUAUCAUUGUUGGGGGUACAUGCUCAGAAUGGAUAAUAGUAAAUAGUAGGGUCUCCUAUGAUAUAUAAUAAAGAUUUUUCUGAUUCCGUUUUAGAUGUUGUAUCUGUAUUUACAGAUGAUACUGGGAUCUUCAUUGACAGUAAUUUGACUUUUAUUUUGUAAGUACUAAGAAUAACACUGCCAAUAAAGUUGUAGGAAUGAUCAAAAGAUCCUUUAUCAAUAUCUUAACAUUUCAUACUUUGUUUAUUUUCCUUGUUCGUCCUCACCUAGAUUCUUGCAGCUCUGCCUACUAUCCUAGACUUCAAAAAGAUCAACAAUUAAUUUAAAAUGUUUUUGGUCAGACUGGACUCACUUACAACCAACUACUUCUGAGACUAAAUUUAACUAGCAUGAGCUAUCGUUUCUUCAGUAAUGACAUGGCAAAAACUUACAAAUGCAUCCACAAUCUUUAUAAUUGUAGUUGCAACCCUUUUGUUUUCUCAUUAAAUACCAUUCAGUAUUUUAUCUAUCAACACUUGUGUCAGAAUGAUGCCAUCUGCACAGUCAUUGUAUUUAUUAUUAUAAUUACAGACCAAUAAGUAGUUAAUCUGAGUUGUAAUAGCAUGCGUGUUAAUAUGGCCACUUCUUAAUAUUAAUAUAUGAUUAUGUAUUUAGUUAGUAUUUAUUAUUAUCUUUUUUAAGACAGAUUUUUUUUCCAUAUUAGAAAAGCUUUUUUAAAAAAGCUUUUCUAAUAUGGAAUUCACAAAAUUGUAGAAUAGUCUACCAUCUGAAAUAGUGUUUAACAUCUGUCAAGACAUUUAAAAAACAUCUAGAUGCAUCUUGGGUUCAUCAAAUGUACAAUUGCAUAUAAACAAUUAGACCGACACAAUUAGAUACAAUAGAACAAAAGGUUGAUAGGCUUUUUUAUUUACCUAUUUAUUCUAUUUUUAAAAUUAUAACCUUAGAAAAUAAUAAUAAUAACAACAUUAAUAAUAAUAACAAAAUGUUAUAUCAAAACUCUUAUAAUUAAACACCGAAUAAUUAAAAUUAAUUAAACACCGAAUAAGUUUUAUGUUUAUUUUUUUAGUGUUGUAUAUUAAAAACACUUUUUUUCAGUGUUCCAUAACUGAGAAAAAUAUUCUAUGCCUGAUUAACUCAUUCAAUUGAGCAUGAGAUCUUAAUCUGAUGCUAAUUUGAAUCUCGUAGUCUUGGGGUUAAUAUUUACUUAGAGCCUCAAGUUGUUUAUCUUCCUUAAUAUAUUUUUUAAAUAAGAAAAUGUUAUCAUAGAAACCUUUUCAAACCGCGCAAACGUUAAAAUUCACUUUUUUUUACUAACCAAUAAUUAAACUCUACUUGUAAUAAAAAGUGAUUACAUUAAAAAUUAAGAAAUGAAACUCAAUAAUUUUUAGACUAAUAUUUUCAGUUAAAAAAAAAUAAUAACCUAAAAAAAAAAGUUAAUCUGAAGUUUUUUUAUAUCAUAAAUUUAGUUGUGAUUAUUUUUUAGCUGAUGUACUGUUAAACUGAAGGUGGUAAUAAAGUUUACAAAAUUUGUAUUGGCUGAAUUUUUCAAAGAAAAAACAAUAUGUAUACGAUGAAUGUAAUCUGUUUUUCAUGGCGGAUCAAUGAAAGUUUGGUGUAUUGGCUAAAUCACUUGCAAGCAUCUUGCCUUUAGGCUGCCAUACGUAAAGUCACGCUUUUAAAAGUAACUGAAAGCAACUAAAAAUAAGAAUUUUUUUGAUAAUUGCUUUAUUUACAAUAUUUUUUUUGUUUUAUUUAGAGUAUUGUCUUUGUUUUUUAUCUAAACAGCUGUUUGACUCAAAUAUAGUAAAUGUUGAUUGUUUAGUAUGGUUUAUCUUAUUCUUUAUACUUUUUUUUGACAGUUAUGAGACUGCUUUAGAACGGAAUUAUGUAAAAGGAUGCAGGUUACAAAAAAAGUGACACUGAUGAGAUUGUCUCUCAGUUUCUCAAAGAUUGAAGAAAUCUUUAGUGUUUUAGGGUUUGGUGAUUCCAUCAGAGCUUUGCUUGACUAUCUCUUUUGAUUUAUUGAAUUUAUUUGCCGGUUAUAGAGGAAAAAAAUCAUCUCGAAGUCUAAAUCUCGAAGAAAAAUUAUUGGACAAAGACACCUCAUGAAUCAAUAGUAUAUAUCAGUGAAUUGAUAUUAGUUAAUAGUUUUUGGAAACAGUACCAUGUACUAUUAAAGUUUCUAAUUUUUAAAAUAUGAUACAUUUAUAUGAAACAUACAAACAAAUGAUACAAUAUGAUACGUGAUUGACUAUAAUUAUGUUGUAUAACAGAAUGUUUUAUAUAAAUGCUUAUUACAUUUUAUUGUGAUUUUUAUCUUUUAUGCCCAGUUAGCAAUGUAUUUUGUUUAGAAAAGACUGUUAAUCUCAGAUAUCUAUGACAUCUGUAGGGUGUAUUCACCGCUACAGAUGUCAUGAUCUAUUUAUAACCAAUUGCUUUUACUCUUCCAUAAUGUCAUAUUUUAAUAAGAAUCACAUUAUGUAAAACCGUCUAAUACAUACACAUGAGGAACCAUUAUACUUUUAGUACAACCAAUUAUAUUACAUUUGUUUUCUUAUUUUAGAUGAACUUUCUUACUUCGGUUGGAGGAGAUGAGAAACAACUUACAGCGGCAAUUUUAAUACAGCUAAUGGCCAAAGAAGUAUGUUUUUCAUAGUCAGUGAAUGGAAGGAAACAAAAACAUUCUGGAAGGUCGUUAUAGAAUUGCGUUUAGUCAUUUAUCGUUGUAUUGGUUCAUUUCUAAAUCGCUACUGACAAAAGUAUUAAA